RNAcentral lists this ribosomal RNA (998 nucleotides) under Pyramidella dolabrata (giant Atlantic pyram). Its description in RNAcentral is "large subunit ribosomal RNA". It matches the Rfam family "Archaeal large subunit ribosomal RNA", at positions 711 to 2762 of the family's 2987-position model. Lineage: Eukaryota; Metazoa; Mollusca; Gastropoda; Pyramidellidae. The record is from RNAcentral.
CCCGAGAGGGAUAGUGAUUUUAGCUGAUAAGUUUUCCUUUUGUAUAAGGGUUUAACCACUAAAAACCUAAAAUGUAGCCUUCCCGAAAGAGGAAGAUCUAAAAAAUAGGGUAUUUUAGUACUUAAAAAGUACUGUUUAAGUUUUACUUUUGAAACUAUUUUUUAGGGGCUAAAAACCUACCAAUUCCUUUGAUAGCUGGAUUUCUUAGAAAUGUGUUUAGCACUACAGCCAGUCAUGGAAUGUUGAGAUUUCAUGAGCAAAGAAUAAUUUUUAAUUGGAAAUCAUGAGGUAAAACUCAUUUUUCUUAGUUUUUAAAAUUUAUUUAGUCUGAGAUCUUUCUACUAGAAGAAAGAGAAAUGGAAUAAUUUAUUUUUUUAAAACUGUUAAAAUUAGUAUUAAUUUUUAAAUAUAGGUAAGGAACUCGGCAAAUAGUACCUUCGUCUGUUUAACAAAAACAUAGCCUUGAGAACCAUUCAAGGUAAGCCCUGCCCGGUGAGUAAUUAUUAAACGGCCGCAGUACCCUGACUGUGCUAAGGUAGCGCAAUCAAUUGGCUUUUAAUUGGAGUCUUGUAUGAAUGGGUUGACGGGGGUAAGCUGUCUCAUCUAUACUAAUUAGAAUUUACUCAAGAGGUGAAAAUUCCUCUAGGUUUAAAAAAGACGAGAAGACCCUUAGAAUUUUUAGAAUAUCAGUAUAAGUUAACUGUUGAUUUUUGUUGGGGCGACACUGAGACACAAACACCAACUCUCAGUUUAUAGAAAAAAUUCUUCGAAGUUUUUAAUUGAAAUAAAAUUACCUGAGGGAUAACAGCAUUAUUAAUGAUUUAGCUUGUGACCUCGAUGUUGGACUAAGGACCUUUUGGACUAGCCGUUCAAAAGUCUUGCUCUGUUCGAGCAUUUUUCCUUACAUGAUCUGAGUUCAGACCGGCGAGAGCCAGGUCAGUUUCUAUCUUUUUAAUUUAAGUAUUAGUACGAAAGGACCAUACUUAAUCCUGUUGGAU